GACGGGGGCCCGGCACAAGACGGUGGAGCAUGUGGUUUAAUUCGAUGAUACGCGAGGACCUUACCUGGGCUCAAAUGUAUGUUGACGUAUUCUGAAAGGGAUACUUCUUCGGACAAUAUACAAGGUGCUGCAUGGUUGUCGUCAGCUCGUGCCGUGAGGUGUCGGGUUAAGUCCCAUAACGAGCGCAACCCCUAUCAUUAGUUGCCAUCAGGUCAAGCUGGGGACUCUAAUGAAACUGCCUACGCAAGUAGUGAGGAAGGUGGGGAUGACGUCAAAUCAGCACGGCCCUUACGUCCAGGGCUACACACGUGCUACAAUGGCCGGUACAAAGGGCAGCUACCUGGUGACAGGAUGCUAAUCUCAAAAGCCGGUCUCAGUUCGGAUCGGAGUCUGCAACCCGACUCCGCGAAGCUGGAAUCGCUAGUAAUCGCGCAUCAGCCAUGGCGCGGUGAAUACGUUCCCGGGCCUU
RNAcentral lists this ribosomal RNA (469 nucleotides) under uncultured Sphingobacteriales bacterium. RNAcentral's name for it is "bacterial SSU rRNA". It matches the Rfam family "Bacterial small subunit ribosomal RNA", at positions 912 to 1382 of the family's 1533-position model. Lineage: Bacteria; Pseudomonadati; Bacteroidota; Sphingobacteriia; Sphingobacteriales. The record is from RNAcentral.